CCUACGGGAGGCAGCAGUGAGGAAUAUUGGUCAAUGACCGGAAGGCUGAACCAGCCAAGCCGCGUGAAGGACGAAGGUGCCAAGCAUUGUAAACUUCUUUUGUCAAGGGACAAAAUCCGGCUCGAGAGCCUGACCGAGUGUACUUUAAGAACAAGCAUCGGCUAACUCCGUGCCAGCAGCCGCGGUAAUACGGAGGAUUCGAGCGUUGUCCGGAUUGAUUGGGUUUAAGGGGUGCGUAGGCGGGCGGUUAAGUCAGCGGUAAAAGCCCGGGGCGCAACCCCGGCGAGCCGGUGAAACUGGCGGUCUGGAGAGGGCGAGAGGUAUGCGGAAGGCGAAGUGUAGCGGUGAAAUGCUUAGAUAUUGCGCAGAACUCCGAUUGCGAAGGCAGCAUACCGGCGGCGAUCUGACGCUGAGGCACGAAAGCGUGGGUAUCGAACAGGAUUAGAUACCCCUGUAGUC
RNAcentral lists this ribosomal RNA (459 nucleotides) under uncultured bacterium. RNAcentral describes it as "partial 16S ribosomal RNA". It matches the Rfam family "Bacterial small subunit ribosomal RNA", at positions 338 to 795 of the family's 1533-position model. The record is from RNAcentral.